RNAcentral lists this ribosomal RNA (253 nucleotides) under uncultured bacterium. Its description in RNAcentral is "partial 16S ribosomal RNA". It matches the Rfam family "Bacterial small subunit ribosomal RNA", at positions 524 to 776 of the family's 1533-position model. The record is from RNAcentral.
UACGUAGGGGGCAAGCGUUGUCCGGAUUUAUUGGGCGUAAAGAGCGUGUAGGCGGCCAUACAGGUCCGUUGUGAAAACUGGAGGCUUAACCUCCAGACGUCGAUGGAAACCGUAUGGCUAGAGUCCGGAAGAGGAGAGUGGAAUUCCUGGUGUAGCGGUGAAAUGCGCAGAUAUCAGGAGGAACACCAAUUGCGAAGGCAGCUCGCUGGGACGUUACUGACGCUGAGACGCGAAAGCGUGGGGAGCAAACAGG